GUAGGGUGCGAGCGUUAAUCGGAAUUACUGGGCGUAAAGCGUGCGCAGGCGGUUCGCUAAGACCGAUGUGAAAUCCCCGGGCUUAACCUGGGAACUGCAUUGGUGACUGGCGGGCUAGAGUAUGGCAGAGGGGGGUAGAAUUCCACGUGUAGCAGUGAAAUGCGUAGAGAUGUGGAGGAAUACCGAUGGCGAAGGCAGCCCCCUGGGCCAAUACUGACGCUCAUGCACGAAAGCGUGGGGGGAGCAAACAGGAUUAGAUACCCUGGUAGUCCACGCCCUAAACGAUGUCAACUAGUUGUCGGGUCUUCAUUGACUUGGUAACGUAGCUAACGCGUGAAGUUGACCGCCUGGGAUACGGUCGCAAGAUUA
This 369-nucleotide ribosomal RNA is filed under the name uncultured organism. Its description in RNAcentral is "partial 16S ribosomal RNA". It matches the Rfam family "Bacterial small subunit ribosomal RNA", at positions 527 to 896 of the family's 1533-position model. The record is from RNAcentral.